GGGGCUGACCGGUUUAGACAGCGGGUAGAAGUGGUUUGUAAGCAUGUAGUGCGUGGUUGGCUUGCACUUAAAUAUCAGACAACGACCAAUUAACUGGCGAAAACAAUUACGCUCUCGCUGCUUGAUCGAAGUAUAGUAGAUCUAAGCUUAAUCCUUGCAACAGUUGCAGGGACGUGACAUCACCCGGAUGCUGUGGCUCCGAAGCGGUUCGAUCAGGUGGUGCAGCAAUAUCGGAGAUAGCUUAAAGUAAGCCCCGGCCUUUAAGCGAAACGUUAGGGGAUAAGGAUGGAAUGGGUGGCUUCGGUCUUGUUCAAUCCCGACAAUUAAAGCGAAGAUAAACAUGUAGAAAGCAAAUUAAUUCCUCGUUUGGACG
Molecule: transfer-messenger RNA, 373 nt
Filed under: Tannerellaceae bacterium
Lineage: Bacteria; Pseudomonadati; Bacteroidota; Bacteroidia; Bacteroidales; Tannerellaceae
Description: partial transfer-messenger RNA
Rfam family: transfer-messenger RNA
About the family: Bacterial tmRNA, also known as 10Sa RNA or SsrA, is named for its dual tRNA and mRNA-like properties. Its role is to liberate the mRNA from a stalled ribosome.
Source: RNAcentral